AUCCAGCUGACGAGUCUUAAGUAGGACGAAACGAGCCUUCUGGAU
Molecule: non-coding RNA, 45 nt
Organism: Schistosoma margrebowiei
Lineage: Eukaryota; Metazoa; Platyhelminthes; Trematoda; Strigeidida; Schistosomatidae
Source: Rfam